RNAcentral lists this ribosomal RNA (460 nucleotides) under uncultured bacterium. RNAcentral's name for it is "partial 16S ribosomal RNA". It matches the Rfam family "Bacterial small subunit ribosomal RNA", at positions 338 to 795 of the family's 1533-position model. The record is from RNAcentral.
CCUACGGGAGGCAGCAGUGAGGAAUAUUGGUCAAUGGACGUAAGCCUGAACCAGCCAAGCCGCGUGAGGGAUGAAGGUUCUAUGGAUCGUAAACCGCUUUUAUAAGGGAAUAAAGUGCGGGACGUGUCCCGUUUUGUAUGUACCUUAUGAAUAAGGAUCGGCUAACUCCGUGCCAGCAGCCGCGGUAAUACGGAGGAUUCGAGCGUUAUCCGGAUUUAUUGGGUUUAAAGGGUGCGUAGGCGGCCUUUUAAGUUAGAGGUGAAAGUCCGUGGCUCAACCACAGAAUUGCCUUUGAAACUGGGCGGCUAGAGAGUGUUUGCGGCAGGCGGAAUGCGUGGUGUAGCGGUGAAAUGCUUAGAUAUCACGCAGAACCCCGAUUGCGAAGGCAGCCUGCCAAGCCAUGACUGACGCUGAUGCACGAAAGCGUGGGGAUCAAACAGGAUUAGAUACCCGUGUAGUC